ACGAAUGGCUAUGCACUACACAACCCUAGGAGAGGGUGCCAUUCACAUAGACUAUAAUUGAAUGGCGCCACUAGGGUUGUGCAGUGCACAACCUACAC
MicroRNA precursor from Carlito syrichta (Philippine tarsier), 98 nucleotides. NCBI's taxonomy places the organism in Eukaryota, Metazoa, Chordata, Mammalia, Primates, Tarsiidae. The record is from Ensembl.